AUAUUCCCAUCUUCACUCAUAUUCCAUCUUAACUCAUAUUACUUAUAAUUAAUUACGUCUUGUUUUUUCUUCAGCAUGGCGAGAGUUUCUGUUUUGUUAUGUUUGGUUUUAUUGGUUACAUUAGGAGUCGUGGUGAGUUUCUCAUUUGCACACAACACGGAUACGACAUUGCAACAUCAGGAGAGCAGUAAGACAGCAACUACACUUGAUCAUAAGAGUACACAUAACGUGCAAGCAGGACAACAGGUCACUGGUGAUCAACAUGGCCAUAAGAAGAAGGGUGAAGAUACCGAUGAUGAAACUGAUACAGAUGAUGAUCAUACCGAUGAUGAUACUGAUGAUGAUACGGAUGAUGAUAAGAAAAAGAAGAAGACAGUAAAAACUCUAUAGAUUAAUAAAAUUGGCACAAUAAUAAUUUAUUACAUGAAUUUUAUUUUUAUAUUUAUAUUUUAAAAUAUCUUUAUUUAGAGAAAUAACAGGAAUGUAUCAUGUCCCGAUAUUAUAUAUUGGCUAAACUUUAUAGAUUUGAAUUUAUAUAUAUUGACAUCAUAUACUCCAUCCGUUCA
RNAcentral lists this long non-coding RNA (566 nucleotides) under Brassica napus (rape). RNAcentral describes it as "long non-coding RNA (BNAP_LNC010589)". The record is from RNAcentral. Lineage: Eukaryota; Viridiplantae; Streptophyta; Magnoliopsida; Brassicales; Brassicaceae.